AUGGAGAGCCCUGAUUCCGAGUUAUGGCUUGAGGCCAUGGGAUCCGAAUUAAAGUCCAUGGAUGACAAUCAAGUUUGGAACUUGGUUGAUCUGCCAGAUGGCGUUCGAGCCAUUGAGUGCAAGUGGAUCUUUAAGAAGAAAACUGAUAUGGACGAAAAUGUCACAGUCCAUAAGGCUCGACUUGUUUCUAAAGGUUAUCGACAAGUUCAAGGAGUUGACUACGAUGAGACUUACUCACCGGUAGCGAUGCCUAAAUCAAUUCGGAUCAUUCUUGUGAUAGCGGCAUAUUUCGACUAUGAAAUAUGGCAGAUGGAUGUCAAAACGGCUUUCCUUAAUGGAAAUUUAACCGAGGAUGUGUAUAUGACACAACCCGAGGGUUUUGUCGAUCCAAAGAAGUCUAGCAUGGCCUUUUUCUAG
This 417-nucleotide ribosomal RNA is filed under the name Triticum aestivum (bread wheat). RNAcentral's name for it is "partial small subunit ribosomal RNA". Lineage: Eukaryota; Viridiplantae; Streptophyta; Magnoliopsida; Poales; Poaceae. The record is from RNAcentral.